Molecule: non-coding RNA, 149 nt
Filed under: human gut metagenome
Source: RNAcentral
AUCGUGAGAUGUGGGAGAGAAGAAGCAAUAGCGAAAUUGUAGCCCUACGGACAGAAACCUGAUACUAAGGCGUAUUAAGCGGACAAGUUGGCCUAAAGCAAUGAAGUCCAAAAGGUAACCGCAAACCAAAUGCGUAGAUUAAGAGGGUA